CAUAUCUCCCUGUGGCUGGCGCUGGGCCACCGAACCUACCCGACCACGAUGCAGGAGCUCUGGGACGACGUGCUCACCCUCAACGCCACGGCCCGGCAGCUCAUCGCCGCCUGGUUCUCCCGUCGGCACACCCGCUUCAAGAAGCGCUCGGCCGACUACCACGGCCGCGCCGCCGACCUUGUCCACGGUCUCCGCGGCACGGCCGUCUCGAGGAGGCAUCGGCUCAAGGGCCAGGCCCGCGUCGCUGCGCUCCCUCGCCUCCACCCACCAGUCCGUGACCAAGGCCACAGCCGAGGCCGGCGGCGUGUCGCUUCUUGA
This 318-nucleotide ribosomal RNA is filed under the name Triticum aestivum (bread wheat). Its description in RNAcentral is "partial small subunit ribosomal RNA". Lineage: Eukaryota; Viridiplantae; Streptophyta; Magnoliopsida; Poales; Poaceae. The record is from RNAcentral.